Long non-coding RNA from Anthonomus grandis grandis, 2213 nucleotides. RefSeq lists it as uncharacterized. NCBI's taxonomy places the organism in Eukaryota, Metazoa, Arthropoda, Insecta, Coleoptera, Curculionidae. The transcript has 3 exons. The record is from RefSeq and is a predicted model, not a curated record.
CUUCGCGUCUACUUUGGUCCGUGGGGACCAGUAGAAAUUUUUAAAAUUUUUGUCAGUACUACAAAAAAAAAUCUCCACAAUUAUCCAAGGAGUGCCCUAAACACGCAGUGGGGAAGAGACCUGCCGUAUCCUCAUAAGGCUCUGAGUUCAAAUCUUAGCCUCGGCAUGGUGCUCUACCCAACUUUUUCUUUUUUUAGUACUUCGAAAAAAUUAACAUCUAUAGUAAAUCCAAAAAUCUCAUCCAUUAUUCUCUAAGAGACCAACAUACAAAAUUGACGAAAAACAAAGAAAAACACAAAGUCACGGUCUCACAACAUGUAAUUAAACGGGCUACACGUGUUUCGCUCUAGUUAGAGCAUCAUCAGGCCUUUAGAAGCCAUCCACACACUUAUGCUGUAACUGAUGAUGCUCUAACUAGAGCGAAACACGUGUAGCCCGUUUAAUUACAUGUUGUGAGACCGUAACUAUGUGUUUUUCUUUGUUUCUCGUCAAUCUAUAGUAAAUACAGAGAGAAAAGGGAAGGUCUUAUUAUAUAUUAUAAUCAGAAAUAAAUUUCAUGGACAUAUUACUUACUUAUUUCUGGGUAUCAUGCUUCAGAGAACCAUGAUGUAUUACAAUACGCUCCGCUCUUUAAUUUUAGUUUAUUUAUAUUCUCAAAACUUGCAUAUAUCAAAAUUAUGUCAGGGUUCUAAAAUGAAUCGGUAAUAAAAUCGUAAACCAGAUCAACAUUGGAAAUAAUUUAAAAAAUUUGCUUUGGUCCGAUUGAAAAAAGUACUAUACUACCAAAUAGUUACAUCUAUUCUGUAGCAAUAAAAGUUAUAAAAUUCUGUCUAUUAUUAAUUUUAAUAUUAUAAAGUGUAUCGUUUAACUCUUAGCCAUUAUUUAUAAUUUAAUUGUUAAUUAUGCCUAAAAAAACGAAUUAACAACUUUGGUAUUGUUUGGAAGGUAAACAGCUUAAUUCCUUUAUGUAAAGCCACCUUAACAUGUUUUUGCAUAAUUCUGACUCACGUUGGUUGCUAUCGGGCUUAAGCCAUAAAAAUCGAAGAAAAAAAGAAGAAGACGAAGAGACUUUCACUUGUCAUUUCAAUGUCACUUUCCGGCCCACAAGCAUAAACGCCACCGGCAACGGAAGUUCCCAAAAUCCAAACAAAUGUUGGAAGAUAUUUUUAAGUCUCCGCAUCUUUCUUACUUUCCUAUAUGAAAAUAAAAUGUAAGUAUCACAAUUACACACAUACAAGUUUUUUUUUUAAUUCAGUUUCAUAAUUACCAAUUUUUAGUGAAUAAUCCUGAAAUUUAUGAAAAUACAUACAUUUUAAGGUUAUGUCAUAAUGUUUUGAUUGUUAUAUUUGAUUUUGUUUUUGUUAUUUUAGUGGACUACACCAACAAAGGUUAUGUGUUUUGCACCAGAUUGAAAGCAUCAUAGCGAAAAACGGACCUGUCAUAUCUUUAAAUUUUCAAAAAAGCCCCUGGAAAAAGAAAAAUGAAUAUCUUUGCCAAUGAAUAGGUACUAAGGCAAAUGGAUAAAAAACCUUCAGUCCAUGCAUUGGUAUGUAAUUGUUGACAAAAAUACAAUGAAUGGCCUCACUACUUUUCCACAUGCAAAGAGGUUAACCAAGGAGAAAUUAAAGAAAUUGUCAAAAACCUAGGUAAAUACAGAAUUGCUUAGUACAAACAUAUCUAUACCCAGUACAAGUUCGUCCACUUCUUUGAAGCAUGGUACUUCAAACAGAGACACUGUCAACAAUUUUGUAGAAGGUGAGCCGGUGUCAAAUUCCAGUAAGGGACAUGAUUUCAAUUUUGCACCAACAGCAGAGCUAAAAUUCAUUUUGUCGCAAAAAACUGGAGGAUGUGAAAGAAAAAAGUGCAGAAGUUAAAAUUAAGUUUUUCAUAUGAGCACAUAAAAAAUAAUCAUGACAAAGUUCAGUUGUAUACAGGUUUGACAUGUAAUAAAUAUUUUUGUAAUCUUAUUAAGUUAAUUAGUUUUAUAUAUUAUUUAAAUAAUAAUUGUAUACUUCACAUAGAAUAUGCAGAAAUUAUAUGUACAUAUAUAAAUUUUUUUAUUAAGAUAAGGACAACAUGUAUUAAAGCAUAACACAUAAUAUAAACACACACGUAAUAUCUUCAUUAAAAAUUCUGAUUGUAUGUUAUGUAGCAUUAGAGCCUAAAAACAUUAAGGAGAAUAAAGGUCGUUAUUGGCAAAUGACAAUAUUAUU